GGGGAAUAUUGCGCAAUGGGGGGAACCCUGACGCAGCAACGCCGCGUGAAGGAUGAAGGCCUUCGGGUUGUAAACUUCUUUGAUUGGGGAAGAAAUUUGACGGUACCCAAAGAACAAGCCACGGCUAACUACGUGCCAGUAGCCGCGGUAAUACGUAGGUGGCGAGCGUUGUCCGGAAUUACUGGGUGUAAAGGGCGUGUAGGCGGGGAUGCAAGUCAGAUGUGAAAUUCCGGGGCUCAACCCCGGCACUGCAUCUGAAACUGUGUCUCUUGAGUGCUGGAGAGGAAAGUGGAAUUCCUAGUGUAGCGGUGAAAUGCGUAGAGAUUAGGAGGAACACCAGUGGCGAAGGCGACUUUCUGGACAGUAACUGACGCUGAGGCGCGAGAGCGUGGGGAGCAAAC
Molecule: ribosomal RNA, 401 nt
Filed under: uncultured bacterium
Lineage: Bacteria
Description: bacterial SSU rRNA
Rfam family: Bacterial small subunit ribosomal RNA
Source: RNAcentral